AUUUUUCUGUUGAUUCCAUUUUCUUUUGUCAGCCUCACAUUGACAGCAUGCAAAGAUCGGUGGCCAACUGCACUGUUGCUAUCAAACCCAAAUCAAUUAGAAGGCUCUGCUGUACCAAUGCCUUUUCUGAUCUUCAUUUGAAGUGACAAGCAUCAAUGUUACUUCAGGACACUGUAGUUCAGAUUUUGUGGAUCUUUGAAAAUCUGAGUCUCAACGCAAGCAACAAUGUUUGACGUAUGUUCAUCCCUAAUGAAAUCAAAACUGAGUUGACCUGAUAUGGACUGACUCUAAAUGAAUCAGAAGCAUAAAAGUUUGGAGUAAGACCUAAUUAUUUUCAAAAAAUAUUUCCCACUUGUAAUCUUAUUUGUAAUCCUAGCUGUAUUAAUCUUUAUGGUGAUGAAAUGUAAUGAAACAGCAAAUGUUUUUUAUGUGGACUUCUGUGCUAAUUAAUGUGAUAAUGGUGGUUCUCACAAUAUAUAGAUAGUUCAUCAAACUACUAAAACCAGCACUUCACAUUAACUGUAAAUUGUUUAAAAUACUCCUUGGCUUUCAAAGACCCUGGAUACAUUUUGUCGUCAAUUCCAAAAAAUCUGUUUAUGAACAUUCACAAGUAUCUAAUCUAUUUUAAAUGUGUGACUGUCACUAAAUAGGACAUACUGAUGUGUUUUCAUUCUCCAACAACUUAAUUUAAACAUCUAAUCCCUGAACACAGACAGUAUAAGCAGGAAGGGAAGCAUUAUUUGUG
Long non-coding RNA from Cygnus atratus (black swan), 745 nucleotides. RefSeq lists it as uncharacterized. NCBI's taxonomy places the organism in Eukaryota, Metazoa, Chordata, Aves, Anseriformes, Anatidae. The record is from RefSeq and is a predicted model, not a curated record. The transcript has 3 exons.